RNAcentral lists this ribosomal RNA (529 nucleotides) under uncultured bacterium. RNAcentral describes it as "bacterial SSU rRNA". It matches the Rfam family "Bacterial small subunit ribosomal RNA", at positions 791 to 1319 of the family's 1533-position model. The record is from RNAcentral.
UAGUCCACGCCGUAAACGAUGGAUACUAGGUGUUUGGAGUGUUAACCCUCUGAGUACCAAAGCUAACGCAUUAAGUAUCCCGCCUGGGGAGUACGGUCGCAAGGCUAAAACUCAAAGGAAUUGACGGGGGCCCGCACAAGCGGUGGAGUAUGUGGUUUAAUUCGAAGCAACGCGCAGAACCUUACCUGGGUUUAACAUCCCACGACAACCUCAGAGAUGAGGCUUUCCCUUCGGGGACGUGGUGAUAGGUGCUGCAUGGCUGUCGUCAGCUCGUGUCGUAAGAUGUUCGGUUAAGUCCGGUAACGAGCGCAACCCUUGUCUUCAGUUGCCACCAUUAAGUUGGGCACUCUGGAGAGACUGCCGGUGUUAAACCGGAGGAAGGCGGGGAUGACGUCAAGUCCUCAUGGCCCUUACGCCCAGGGGCUACACACGUACUGCAAUGGCAGAAACAAACCGUUGCAAGACCGCGAGGUGGAGCUAAUCGGUAAAACACUGUCUCAGUCCGGAUUGGAGUCUGCAACUCGACUCC